Molecule: long non-coding RNA, 544 nt
Filed under: Anas platyrhynchos platyrhynchos (common mallard)
Lineage: Eukaryota; Metazoa; Chordata; Aves; Anseriformes; Anatidae
Description: lncRNA (ENSAPLG00000027822.1)
Source: RNAcentral
UGCUGAUCUUAUAGUACCUAUUAUAGUAUCUGAAACCUAUAGUAUCUAUUCCUCUUUUUCAGUCCUAGUUAAUCUCUUCCUUUUAACUACAAGACUGCAGUCUAUCAAAUAGAAAGCAAGUAAAGAGAGAUUCUCUAAACAUGAGUUAAAUUAAAACAAAUUGUUUUGGGUUUAGUAGCAAAGCAAUUCCCAUCCACUGCAAGGGUGAAUUUAAGAAGCAUAAGUCAGUUAAAAUCAGCACCUUCUGAAAAGAUUUAUUCUUCUCAUGUACUUUCAGAGUUUUGUAAGGAAUAGCAGUCCAUUAUAUCAACGGAGCAAUCCUGUAAUCCUUGUGAAGAAGCAAUUAAUCUCCAGUGAUGUAAGUGCAGGGCUCAGAGGAAGGAUCCAUGGUGUUUCCAACAAACAGUUCUCAUUACAGCUUCCACUUUUGGAGGCAGCAUCUGGUUCUGGAUUGCACUCUGUUCAGCCUGCCAAAUUAAUACAAUGAACACUUCCAUUGCUGACAGCUGACAUGGUCCUGGCACAAGUAGCGCAGGUGAGUGGA